Molecule: ribosomal RNA, 614 nt
Filed under: Pleurotus ostreatus (oyster mushroom)
Lineage: Eukaryota; Fungi; Basidiomycota; Agaricomycetes; Agaricales; Pleurotaceae
Description: eukaryotic LSU rRNA
Rfam family: 5.8S ribosomal RNA (bases 250-403)
Source: RNAcentral
CCUGCGGAAGGAUCAUUAAUGAAUUCACUAUGGAGUUGUUGCUGGCCUCUAGGGGCAUGUGCACGCUUCACUAGUCUUUCAACCACCUGUGAACUUUUGAUAGAUCUGUGAAGUCGUCUCUCAAGUCGUCAGACUUGGUUGCUGGGAUUUAAACGUCUCGGUGUGACUACGCAGUCUAUUUACUUACACACCCCAAAUGUAUGUCUACGAAUGUCAUUUAAUGGGCCUUGUGCCUAUAAACCAUAAUACAACUUUCAACAACGGAUCUCUUGGCUCUCGCAUCGAUGAAGAACGCAGCGAAAUGCGAUAAGUAAUGUGAAUUGCAGAAUUCAGUGAAUCAUCGAAUCUUUGAACGCACCUUGCGCCCCUUGGUAUUCCGAGGGGCAUGCCUGUUUGAGUGUCAUUAAAUUCUCAAACUCACUUUGGUUUUUUCCAAUUGUGAUGUUUGGAUUGUUGGGGGCUGCUGGCCUUGACAGGUCGGCUCCUCUUAAAUGCAUUAGCAGGACUUCUCAUUGCCUCUGCGCAUGAUGUGAUAAUUAUCACUCAUCAAUAGCACGCAUGAAUAGAGUCCAGCUCUCUAAUCGUCCGCAAGGACAAUUUGACAAUUUGACCUC